UAGGGAAUCUUCCACAAUGGACGAAAGUCUGAUGGAGCAACGCCGCGUGAGUGAAGAAGGGUUUCGGCUCGUAAAACUCUGUUGUUAAAGAAGAACAUAUCUGAGAGUAACUGUUCAUACGUUGACGGUAUUUAACCAGAAAGUCACGGCUAACUACGUCCCAG
Molecule: ribosomal RNA, 164 nt
Filed under: uncultured bacterium
Lineage: Bacteria
Description: partial 16S ribosomal RNA
Rfam family: Bacterial small subunit ribosomal RNA
Source: RNAcentral